UGUCAAGGGAUGGGAAUCGAACCCACGUCCUUCCGCUUACCGGGCAGAUGCCAUGACCACUAGCAUAUGUAGCCUAGUGGU
RNAcentral lists this transfer RNA (81 nucleotides) under Cordylochernes scorpioides. RNAcentral's name for it is "tRNA-Thr". Lineage: Eukaryota; Metazoa; Arthropoda; Arachnida; Pseudoscorpiones; Chernetidae. The record is from RNAcentral.